Molecule: ribosomal RNA, 1133 nt
Filed under: Salmonella enterica subsp. enterica serovar Hvittingfoss
Lineage: Bacteria; Pseudomonadati; Pseudomonadota; Gammaproteobacteria; Enterobacterales; Enterobacteriaceae
Description: partial 23S ribosomal RNA
Rfam family: Bacterial large subunit ribosomal RNA
Source: RNAcentral
GGUUAACCGUAUAGGGGAGCCGUAGGGAAACCGAGUCUUAACCGGGCGUUAAGUUGCAGGGUAUAGACCCGAAACCCGGUGAUCUAGCCAUGGGCAGGUUGAAGGUUGGGUAACACUAACUGGAGGACCGAACCGACUAAUGUUGAAAAAUUAGCGGAUGACCUGUGGCUGGGGGUGAAAGGCCAAUCAAACCGGGAGAUAGCUGGUUCUCCCCGAAAGCUAUUUAGGUAGCGCCUCGUGAAUUCAUCUCCGGGGGUAGAGCACUGUUUCGGCUAGGGGGCCAUCCCGGCUUACCAACCCGAUGCAAACUGCGAAUACCGGAGAAUGUUAUCACGGGAGACACACGGCGGGUGCUAACGUCCGUCGUGAAGAGGGAAACAACCCAGACCGCCAGCUAAGGUCCCAAAGUCAUGGUUAAGUGGGAAACGAUGUGGGAAGGCCCAGACAGCCAGGAUGUUGGCUUAGAAGCAGCCAUCAUUUAAAGAAAGCGUAAUAGCUCACUGGUCGAGUCGGCCUGCGCGGAAGAUGUAACGGGGCUAAACCAUGCACCGAAGCUGCGGCAGCGACACUGUGUGUUGUUGGGUAGGGGAGCGUUCUGUAAGCCUGUGAAGGUGGCCUGUGAGGGUUGCUGGAGGUAUCAGAAGUGCGAAUGCUGACAUAAGUAACGAUAAAGCGGGUGAAAAGCCCGCUCGCCGGAAGACCAAGGGUUCCUGUCCAACGUUAAUCGGGGCAGGGUGAGUCGACCCCUAAGGCGAGGCCGAAAGGCGUAGUCGAUGGGAAACGGGUUAAUAUUCCCGUACUUGGUGUUACUGCGAAGGGGGGACGGAGAAGGCUAUGUUGGCCGGGCGACGGUUGUCCCGGUUUAAGCGUGUAGGUGUGUGUUCCAGGUAAAUCCGGUUCACUUUAACACUGAGGCGUGACGACGAGGCACUACGGUGCUGAAGCAACAAAUGCCCUGCUUCCAGGAAAAGCCUCUAAGCAUCAGGUAACAUCAAAUCGUACCCCAAACCGACACAGGUGGUCAGGUAGAGAAUACCAAGGCGCUUGAGAGAACUCGGGUGAAGGAACUAGGCAAAAUGGUGCCGUAACUUCGGGAGAAGGCACGCUGACACGUAGGUGAAGUGAUUUACUCA